ACUCCUACGGGAGGCAGCAGUGGGGAAUAUUGCACAAUGGGGGAAAGCCUGAUCCAGCAAUGCCGCGUGUGUGAAGAAGGCCUGCGGGUUGUAAAGCACUUUCAAUUGGGAAGAAAAGUUUACGGAUAAUACCUUUGCACCUUGACGUUAACUUUAGAAGAAGCACCGGCUAACUCUGUGCCAGCAGCCGCGGUAAUACGGAGGGUGCGAGCGUUAAUCGGAAUUACUGGGCGUAAAGCGCGCGUAGGCGGUUUGGUCAGUCAGAUGUGAAAGCCCUGGGCUUAACCUGGGAACUGCAUUUGAUACUACUACACUAGAGUAUGGUAGAGGGAAGUGGAAUUCCGGGUGUAGCGGUGAAAUGCGUAGAUAUCCGAAGGAACACCAGUGGCGAAGGCGACUUCCUGGACCAAUACUGACGCUGAGGUACGAAAGCGUGGGUAGCAAACAGGAUUAGAUACCCUGGUAGUCCAUCGCCGUAAACGAUGUCAACUAGCCGUUGGGGACAUUAAGUUCUUAGGGGCGCAGCUAACGCGAUAAGUUGACCGCCUGGGGAGUACGGCCGCAAGGUUAAAACUCAAAGGAAUUGACGG
This 590-nucleotide ribosomal RNA is filed under the name uncultured bacterium. RNAcentral describes it as "bacterial SSU rRNA". It matches the Rfam family "Bacterial small subunit ribosomal RNA", at positions 335 to 916 of the family's 1533-position model. The record is from RNAcentral.